GAUGAACGCUGGCGGCGUGCCUAAUACAUGCAAGUCGAGCGAACGGACGAGAAGCUUGCUUCUCUGAUGUUAGCGGCGGACGGGUGAGUAACACGUGGAUAACCUACCUAUAAGACUGGGAUAACUUCGGGAAACCGGAGCUAAUACCGGAUAAUAUUUUGAACCGCAUGGUUCAAAAGUGAAAGACGGUCUUGCUGUCACUUAUAGAUGGAUCCGCGCUGCAUUAGCUAGUUGGUAAGGUAACGGCUUACCAAGGCAACGAUGCAUAGCCGACCUGAGAGGGUCAUCGGCCACACUGGAACUGAGACACGGUCCAGACUCCUACGGGAGGCAGCAGUAGGGAAUCUUCCGCAAUGGGCGAAAGCCUGACGGAGCAACGCCGCGUGAGUGAUGAAGGUCUUCGGAUCGUAAAACUCUGUUAUUAGGGAAGAACAUAUGUGUAAGUAACUGUGCACAUCUUGACGGUACCUAAUCAGAAAGCCACGGCUAACUACGUG
RNAcentral lists this ribosomal RNA (497 nucleotides) under uncultured bacterium. RNAcentral describes it as "partial 16S ribosomal RNA". It matches the Rfam family "Bacterial small subunit ribosomal RNA", at positions 28 to 507 of the family's 1533-position model. The record is from RNAcentral.